AGAAAAAUCCAAUGGUGGAUAAGAAGUCCAAGUCAUCUGUCCAUGUCAAAAUGAUUUCCCUCUCAUACCAAACCCAAUAAUUUGACGCCAUUUUACAGUUGUCAUAACUGAAAUUUCCUUCUUGUCACAAGUUAAGUUUGAUUCGAGGGGGAGGAAGCAAUUGCACUGGACACAAGGUUGUUUUCAAAUCAAAUGAACCUUAGACAAUAUGACCAUUAGGAUUUAGUUAUAGCUAUACACGCAUUUUAUUAGUGCAGGGUUUGUUAAGAAAAGAUGCCACGUGUGGCCAGCAGCGAGAAUAUAGGAAGUUAUCUUCAUAUAUAAGAUCUGUAACAGAAUUGGAGAAGGAUAAUAAUGAACAUAAUGAAUGAAUGUUGAGCUGAAUGCGUGAAAUUCUGCUUCUAUCUCUCUUCUUCUUCUAUUUGCUCACUAACUUGUAAACACCAUGAAUGGAACUUGGCUACCAGCCAUUUCCAUCACUAAGGCACCUCUGGAUGUUAUCCAGAUUGGUUCCCAGUCAAUCAGACACGCACAUUUCUCCUUUUAUUUUCAUUCUUAAAAUCUCUAAGCAGUUAGGAGGAGAAGGAGCCGAGUCUACUGAUGGGUUUACUACUACCACUGCUGCUUCACUUGUUCGUGCAAAAGAUGACAGUGGUUUUGUUAAAUGUGAAGAGUGCAAAAAGGAUAUGCCAGUGGCUUUAUAAGUUUCCAAGGCCGUAGUCUUGAUGCUAAAAUCAAGAUGAAUUCUGGAAGACAACAACCUUGACAGAGCCGAAAGCGAAGAAAGAGGAGAAGGGCAAUGAUCAAAAUGCACUGAAACGACCUCCCAUUACUUUCUUUCUCCUCAUGUAAUAAUGCCCUUUGUUGCUUGUUUGUGUGGUGUAAUAUAAUGUGAUGAUAAUGUGUGAAUAUGGGGAGUGGGGUUUGUAUUGAUGUGUGUUGUUCCUUAAUUAGGGGUGAUCUUAGGAAAGAGUAUAAGGAAGGCAACCUGCACUCUAAGGAAGUUAAGAAGAUAAAUGAAACGUUGCAAGGAAAAGUGGUGAGAGAUGGAAAUCAAUGACUGAUGAAGUGAGUGUUG
Molecule: long non-coding RNA, 1078 nt
Organism: Populus trichocarpa (black cottonwood)
Lineage: Eukaryota; Viridiplantae; Streptophyta; Magnoliopsida; Malpighiales; Salicaceae
Exons: 4
Source: RefSeq, a predicted model, not a curated record